UAGCGUAUAUUUAAGUUGUUGCAGUUAAAAAGCUCGUAGUUGGAUCUUGGGUCGGGGGGAGCGGUCCGCCCCUCGUGGGUGUGCACUGGUCCACCCGACCUUUCUGCCGGGGACGCGCUCCUGGCCUUCGCUGGUCGGGACGCGGAGUCGGCGAUGUUACUUUGAAAAAAUUAGAGUGCUCAAAGCAAGCCUAUGCUCUGAAUACAUUAGCAUGGAAUAACGUGAUAGGACUCUGGUCCUGUUGUGUUGGUCUUCGGGACCGGAGUAAUGAUUAAUAGGGACAGUUGGGGGCAUUCGUAUUUCAUUGUCAGAGGUGAAAUUCUUGGAUUUAUGAAAGACGAACUUCUG
RNAcentral lists this ribosomal RNA (348 nucleotides) under uncultured eukaryote. Its description in RNAcentral is "SSU rRNA". It matches the Rfam family "Eukaryotic small subunit ribosomal RNA", at positions 595 to 945 of the family's 1831-position model. The record is from RNAcentral.